AUCUUCUGUUGCUUAGGGUACGCGAGAUAUUUCCCCUCCCUCCGAAGAUGAAUUCGACGCGAUUUUUGGAAUUUCUGCUAGGAUUGGAUUGGAUCGGGUAUUGUCUUGGCAGUUAUAGGCGAAUUAGCGGUUGUCAUUGUCCGUCGAUGAUGGCCACUAAUUGAAGUGCCUCCGCAUGAUUGUGGAUGACGGAUAUGAGCCGGAUGAUUGGUCAACGUGGCGACUUACUCAGAUGGACUUCCUGACACGAAUUGUGCUUCCGUGCUGGUGGAUGCUGAUUUCGUUGCGUAUCCGAGCCGUGACGAGAUCACUAAAGGUAUUCCACCUGGCCAUUCUCCUAUCCGGUCAGCUUGGGUACGGUCGGAGAGAAAGUCUGCUAUAUGGUCUGUGUUAGUUGGGGUUGAAAUUUAAGUGUUUUUUCUGUUGAAAAUUUCUAAAUUUUGUCUUGCUUUUUUAUUUUUUAUUUAUUUAUUAUUAUUUUUUUUUCAAUUCAAUCAUUAUUUUUGGCUUCAUAUUUUCUCACAUUCUUCUCCCGUCUCUAUAAAAGGUGUAAACAAUUUUUACAGGUUGGUUUCAAUAUAAGGCAAGUAUGGCGUGCUAUGAGUUUUCUAUGUAAAUUUCAUUUUUUCCAAUUUUUUUUUUUAUUUUUUUUUUUAUCAAAGUUGUCCCUGUGCAUAACUUAUGUCCAACUUUACCAGAUCGUCUCGGUGGCCCAAGGGAAUUGUCGCCGGCGGGCCUGUGGAGUACUGGUAAUGCAAAAUUACAUUUUUUUUCUGCACAUUCUCUUGAUUUUCGCGAAAAGAUCGCAACUUUCGGGUGGAGGAGUUGCGCAACCGGCUCAUGUCUUGGACGUUAUGGCGUAGCCUCCGCGUGUCCCAUGAGAUCCCACUCCCUCAGCAGCAACAGUCUGGAUAAGCCAACUUUACCGCUUCGCAAUGCCAUUAAUCGGGUUGGCGGUACUGCAAAAAGCUGCACUUUAGGUUUUUGGACCGCGCGUAAAGAUCGCUACGCUCGAGGGAAGACGUAGCGCAGGUUCUCCUGGACGUACCCGGUAUCGAUACUGGCGCGGGUUCCUUGAGAAAUCCUCUUCCCUCAACCCAUUCUCAGUCCUUUGGGUGGGGUAUUCUUAUUCAUGAUGAUGCGUGAAGGGGUAAAGUAGGACGGACUUACUUUGCCAAGAUGGAGAGAAUGUGGUCUUCUAAUUGAAUGCAACAAAAAAAUGAACGUACGUGAAUGAUGCUCGUCGAAGGAUUUCACAAAGUAAUUGUCGAAGAUGGAAGCAGUUUUCUCUGAACAUGUGACAAGAAAAAAAUGCUGGCAAUAAUUGCAAAGGAAAUGAAAAAAUGAAUAGAUUUGUAAAAGAUGCUCGUCAAAGGAUUUUACAACGUAGUUGUCGAAGAUGGAAUCAGUUUCCCAAUUGCUGAUCUAAAAAUGGAAUUCAGAUGCAGAUUCUGUCUACGUACGUGUGAUAUCAUCAGCUCCAGAAUAUUCUCCAGCUUCGAACGUGCGACACCUAACUGAUAUUUCUCGCCUCCCUCCUGCCUGUCCAGUUUCAAUUUUACGUGAUCAGCUUUUAACGGAAUAACCAGCGCAGCGUGUGGCGAUUUUAUUCGGCGGAACCGCGGAAUUCUAGCGAGCUUCGAGAAGCACUUUUCCGUAUGUACGUACAAUGUUUGUAAAUUGAACUUGUCGCCCUCCCCCUCUCCCUUCAUCGGAGCAUGUGGCGCGUUGGCUUAUGAGCUUUACAUAUACCUACCUACGAUGGACGCGAUACAGCGCGGAAUAAUUAUUGAAGAGACUUACCAGUUCGCUGAACGAUAUUCUGACGUGCAAUUUUCAUCACGUGCGAAUUUUUUGAUUGGUCAAUGGUCAUCGUUGCUCUCACUGACGUGAGCUAUAUUUUUGAACGCAGCACUUGAGCGUGAUAAUUUUAGCUGCUACGAUUAUUCCAGUUUGAAGAACUGUAUUUUACGCAUGCGAAUAUUUGUAAAUGUGAUUAUGCCCUCACCUGGCUCACCUGCUAUUUGGAUUGAAAUGAUUUUAUUGGAAAAGCUGUAGAUUAAUCCCUGAUGAUUGAAUAGUUCUUCUAUGUUGAGAACUUGCUUGAACGUUCGCUGAUUUGAUUAUGUAGUACUUUCCUAUACUUGUACCGCUACUUAUCGAUUUUAUGGAUUAUUCGAGCGGAUAUUUUGACGUUUUAUUCACGAUGAGCUCCUUUUUUUUCCAAUUGAUGGAUGAAUAUCCAAGGGCAAUCUUAUGAAGGUUUGAUGAGUUAGGUGAUGCUUUUCUCUAGUCUAGUUUUUUUUCUGAGUAGAGUUUAGGGAUAAUGGGAUAUAGAAAAGUAUUUUUUUUUCAACUGUCUGUCUUAAUGAUAGGGUGAAUAUUAGUUGGGAUGUUAUUUUAUAGGAUAGGAAUGCAACAACAAUAUUCAUUUCGGACGAUUAUUUUUGGCUGUAGUUUUUCAAGACUUUAAUCAAAUCAUGCUGUUUUUUUUUUUUUUUUUUUUUGAAAAUUGGAUAUGUACUACAAUAUUUUUGAUCAAAAUUGAAAAAAUUUUGGGCGGUUUGUAUUUGGCUAUUUUCAAAAUUUUGUUGUAAGUGACGCGCCGAUGUUGGUAUCUGGUCAACCUGGAGACCUCACAACAUCGGAAGAGACCCGGAGGGUUUUGCGAUGCCUACUGCGAUCGUCCCCGGCAUCCGGGAUACCAAGGCGGCAUGGUAGGGUCGCAUUAAACGAAGGGUAAUGAGGGAUGGUAGAUUUUACACGUUUAACUAGAUAUCUAACAUUGUUCGAAUCGCAGGUCGAAAGGUCUUUAUUUGAUCGUCGGUGGCGUUCUUUGUGGUACCUCGUGUGUGCGACUUUUUCCUUCAAAAACACACUCGCCGUGUGAUUUUUGGAGCGAACGAGUCGUAUACGAGUUCUCCAAGGCGUCGUCGUCGGGCGAUUUGUGGUGCGUGAAAGUGCGUGUAUUGAAGCUGCGGGUGAGUGUAGGGAAUUGAGAUACUGUUCCGGAGAGUUGGGCCCGACAAAGGGUUCGAUUGUCUGGACUGUUGAGAGUGCGAGAAGAGCGGAUGUCGAUCUGGAUUUUUAUGCUUUGUUAGAAUCUAGUCAAGGGUGUAAGGUCUUUCCGUCAUCGUAUGGGUAGAGAAAUAAUCGAAAAUUGAACUAUUAAAAUGAUUAGCAUCGAACUUUCUAGGAAUGUGUUUUAGUCAUCGUUGGUCGGAUGGGAGAUGACUGGGGUUCGAUUUUUUGGUACUGUGUAAGGAGUCAGGUACAGGUGAGUCGUUACUAUGUUACGUAUUAUAAGUUAGUUUACACGAGUCGAUUCAGGUGAGUCGUUAUUUAAUUACUUAUGUACUUAAGAUUACUUUAUUUGCGUCAAACUAAGACGAGUUGACGAACAAAAUUGUCGAUCAUUCGAGCUGGUUUUCGAUGAAAUUUGUCGAGAAAUUGAGAUUAGGACCCCCCGCCCAUUUACUUUUUAUGUAUAUCAUGUUGAUGUUGUAUCAUUUCUGUUUGUGUAUUUUUUUAUUUUUUUUUUUUUUUUUGAAAAUUUGUAUCAAUUACAAUUGUUAUUAUUAUUCGUGUAAUUUUGUAAUGACCAAUCAUGGUUUUUCACUGUCGAGCGGCCGGCAGUGUUUUUUACUCCAGAUUGGUCAACGUGUUGUAGAAUUAAGUUUGUAUUGAUUUCUUUGCCGUUGAAAAGUUGAAACGAGUUUCGUUUUGUGU
This is a long non-coding RNA of Planococcus citri (citrus mealybug), 3729 nucleotides long. RefSeq lists it as uncharacterized. The record is from RefSeq and is a predicted model, not a curated record. The transcript is spliced from 3 exons. Lineage: Eukaryota; Metazoa; Arthropoda; Insecta; Hemiptera; Pseudococcidae.